This 2906-nucleotide ribosomal RNA is filed under the name Klebsiella michiganensis. Its description in RNAcentral is "23S ribosomal RNA". It matches the Rfam family "Bacterial large subunit ribosomal RNA". Lineage: Bacteria; Pseudomonadati; Pseudomonadota; Gammaproteobacteria; Enterobacterales; Enterobacteriaceae. The record is from RNAcentral.
GGUUAAGCGACUAAGCGUACACGGUGGAUGCCCUGGCAGUCAGAGGCGAUGAAGGACGUGCUAAUCUGCGAAAAGCGUCGGUAAGGUGAUAUGAACCGUUAUAGCCGGCGAUGUCCGAAUGGGGAAACCCAGUGCAAUUCGUUGCACUAUCGUUUGAUGAAUACAUAGUCAAACGAGGCGAACCGGGGGAACUGAAACAUCUAAGUACCCCGAGGAAAAGAAAUCAACCGAGAUUCCCCCAGUAGCGGCGAGCGAACGGGGAGCAGCCCGGAGUCUGAAUCAGCUUGUGUGUUAGUGGAAGCGUCUGGAAAGUCGCAGGGUACAGGGUGAUACUCCCGUACACUAAAACGCACAGGUUGUGAACUCGAAGAGUAGGGCGGGACACGUGGUAUCCUGUCUGAAUAUGGGGGGACCAUCCUCCAAGGCUAAAUACUCCUGACUGACCGAUAGUGAACCAGUACCGUGAGGGAAAGGCGAAAAGAACCCCGGCGAGGGGAGUGAAAAAGAACCUGAAACCGUGUACGUACAAGCAGUAGGAGCCCACUAGUUGGGUGACUGCGUACCUUUUGUAUAAUGGGUCAGCGACUUAUAUUCUGUAGCAAGGUUAACCGUAUAGGGGAGCCGCAGGGAAACCGAGUCUUAACUGGGCGUUAAGUUGCAGGGUAUAGACCCGAAACCCGGUGAUCUAGCCAUGGGCAGGUUGAAGGUUGGGUAACACUAACUGGAGGACCGAACCGACUAAUGUUGAAAAAUUAGCGGAUGACUUGUGGCUGGGGGUGAAAGGCCAAUCAAACCGGGAGAUAGCUGGUUCUCCCCGAAAGCUAUUUAGGUAGCGCCUCGUGAAUUCAUCUUCGGGGGUAGAGCACUGUUUCGGCUAGGGGGUCAUCCCGACUUACCAACCCGAUGCAAACUACGAAUACCGAAGAAUGUUAUCACGGGAGACACACGGCGGGUGCUAACGUCCGUCGUGAAGAGGGAAACAACCCAGACCGCCAGCUAAGGUCCCAAAGUCAUGGUUAAGUGGGAAACGAUGUGGGAAGGCCCAGACAGCCAGGAUGUUGGCUUAGAAGCAGCCAUCAUUUAAAGAAAGCGUAAUAGCUCACUGGUCGAGUCGGCCUGCGCGGAAGAUGUAACGGGGCUAAACCAUGCACCGAAGCUGCGGCAGCGACACUAUGUGUUGUUGGGUAGGGGAGCGUUCUGUAAGCCGUUGAAGGUGGCCUGUGAGGGUUGCUGGAGGUAUCAGAAGUGCGAAUGCUGACAUAAGUAACGAUAAUGCGGGUGAAAAACCCGCACGCCGGAAGACCAAGGGUUCCUGUCCAACGUUAAUCGGGGCAGGGUGAGUCGACCCCUAAGGCGAGGCCGAAAGGCGUAGUCGAUGGGAAACAGGUUAAUAUUCCUGUACUCGGUGUUACUGCGAAGGGGGGACGGAGAAGGCUAUGUUGGCCGGGCGACGGUUGUCCCGGUUUAAGCAUGUAGGCGGAUGUUCCAGGUAAAUCCGGAACGUUACUAACGCUGAGGUGUGAUGACGAGGCACUACGGUGCUGAAGUGACAAAUGCCCUGCUUCCAGGAAAAGCCUCUAAGCAUCAGGUAACAUCAAAUCGUACCCCAAACCGACACAGGUGGUCAGGUAGAGAAUACCAAGGCGCUUGAGAGAACUCGGGUGAAGGAACUAGGCAAAAUGGUGCCGUAACUUCGGGAGAAGGCACGCUGAUGGUAGGUGAAGCGACUUGCUCGUGGAGCUGAAAUCAGUCGAAGAUACCAGCUGGCUGCAACUGUUUAUUAAAAACACAGCACUGUGCAAACACGAAAGUGGACGUAUACGGUGUGACGCCUGCCCGGUGCCGGAAGGUUAAUUGAUGGGGUUAUCCGUAAGGAGAAGCUCUUGAUCGAAGCCCCGGUAAACGGCGGCCGUAACUAUAACGGUCCUAAGGUAGCGAAAUUCCUUGUCGGGUAAGUUCCGACCUGCACGAAUGGCGUAAUGAUGGCCAGGCUGUCUCCACCCGAGACUCAGUGAAAUUGAACUCGCUGUGAAGAUGCAGUGUACCCGCGGCAAGACGGAAAGACCCCGUGAACCUUUACUAUAGCUUGACACUGAACACUGGUCCUUGAUGUGUAGGAUAGGUGGGAGGCUUUGAAGUGUGGACGCCAGUCUGCAUGGAGCCAUCCUUGAAAUACCACCCUUUAAUGGCUGGUGUUCUAACGUGGGCCCCUAAUCGGGGUUGCGGACAGUGUCUGGUGGGUAGUUUGACUGGGGCGGUCUCCUCCUAAAGAGUAACGGAGGAGCACGAAGGUCAGCUAAUCCUGGUCGGACAUCAGGAGGUUAGUGCAAUGGCAUAAGCUGGCUUGACUGCGAGCGUGACGGCGCGAGCAGGUGCGAAAGCAGGUCAUAGUGAUCCGGUGGUUCUGAAUGGAAGGGCCAUCGCUCAACGGAUAAAAGGUACUCCGGGGAUAACAGGCUGAUACCGCCCAAGAGUUCAUAUCGACGGCGGUGUUUGGCACCUCGAUGUCGGCUCAUCACAUCCUGGGGCUGAAGUAGGUCCCAAGGGUAUGGCUGUUCGCCAUUUAAAGUGGUACGCGAGCUGGGUUUAGAACGUCGUGAGACAGUUCGGUCCCUAUCUGCCGUGGGCGCUGGAGAAUUGAGGGGGGCUGCUCCUAGUACGAGAGGACCGGAGUGGACGCAUCACUGGUGUUCGGGUUGUCAUGCCAAUGGCAUUGCCCGGUAGCUAAAUGCGGAAGAGAUAAGUGCUGAAAGCAUCUAAGCACGAAACUUGCCCCGAGAUGAGUUCUCCCUGACCCUUUAAGGGUCCUGAAGGAACGUUGAAGACGACGACGUUGAUAGGCCGGGUGUGUAAGCGCAGCGAUGCGUUGAGCUAACCGGUACUAAUGAACCGUGAGGCUUAACCUU